Long non-coding RNA from Hylaeus volcanicus, 1752 nucleotides. RefSeq lists it as uncharacterized. The record is from RefSeq and is a predicted model, not a curated record. The transcript has 3 exons. NCBI's taxonomy places the organism in Eukaryota, Metazoa, Arthropoda, Insecta, Hymenoptera, Colletidae.
GUUGGUUUCGCAUCAACAGUCGGUGGUGGGACCUGGGCUACCAAUCCUGGAGCAGAAGUUACAAGGGAAGGUGCAAUAUAUUGUCCGCGAAAGAGCUGGUGGGGAUCUAACCACGGUUCCUGGAGGAAUUUCGGGAUCAUCGCUGAUCCUGCGUAGAACGAUCCAGUCGGAGAUCGAACGCAAAGUGACGCGGUGCUUUGUUAUUCCUUCGGCUCGAUUUCGAUUCGUUCGUUUCCAGUAAACUUUCCACGGCUACGGCUCUCCACAGUUUAAAGUCGACUAAACAGCCAAUCGAUAAAAAGCAUUAACAAGUUUCGUUGACGAAUUCGUCGUCCAAGAACAAAGAUUAUCGUCGAGCGACCGAUAAUCCUCCUGCCGUGAACUUCCAGUGAACACCGAAAAAUGCCACUGCCAGCCCACGAAACGAAGAACAUCCUCACCACGUACUUCAUACUCAUACUUCUGUUGAUUUGCCUCUGGUUACUGUACGCAGGAUUGUUUUAACUUCGGUGUACCUCAGCAUGGGUCGAAGCAAGAAAGGAACACCUCGACAGCCCGCCAACCUCGAUUGGUCUGCGAUGCCACGCUCGUUCGUAUCGAAAAGAAUUCAAAAUGAACAAAACCAGUGCUGAGAUUAUUCGCGCUUCUCCCGUGCAAUUUUAUUCUCUCGAUUUUGUUCUGUUCGCGCGAAAAGCAAAAUGUAAGUCCAUAUACGUCGCAUUGUAUCGAAACGGAGCGAUGGAACGAGGUUCGGAAAAUGGGACUGUUCGAAAAGUAUCACCGUUGCUAGUAUGUGUUUCGUUCUGCUUGAGACAGCCGAUUGGAUAUCGAAGUCACCUUUUUACAUAAUCAUAAUAACAUAAUAACAUUUUUUUCAAAUCCUAGCUCCCACCGAAAUGUAUUCCAGGGUAAUUGGAUUUCCAAGUGGCAGCUUUGUUUCUAAUAAAAUCGGCAAAAAGUACUGGCGUUUUACCAGAAACUCGACGAUCAAAGAGAAACACAAGCUUCUCGUAAACACGAAACGUUACGCGACUCGAGAGCGAAUGUUUCGCGAAGUAACGAUGGCGCCUGUCGGGCUGUUAUAAACAUAUUUUUUACCGAUGGAAGAAUGCAAGAUUUUAAUUUGAAAUUUUGCACACGCUUUUUUUAUUACUGUUUUAGUACGAUGUACACAUUUUCAGAGAAAGAUUUACCUAAGAAAAGAUAGAAGAAAAAAAAGUCAGCGACUUCGGGGAUCGAAAACACUUCUGUUACGCGAACUGCGUAAGAAACACGUGGGCGUUUAGUCGAAAAUAGCCGAUGCUUCCAACUCUCUUCGCGGUGUACAGCCUAACAGUCGACGUACAGAGAACUAAGUCGGUAUUUUCGAUAGGACUCCCGAAAAUAGAUGUUAUGAGCAUCGCUGCUGUCCGAAUAUAUUGCCACGCUAAGCCGUGAUCGACGGAUCCUCCUCGAUCGUUGCGUAACCGUAGACCGUUGCUGUUUCUCCAGGAUCGAAUUACCGAUUUAUUCGAUUACGAAUUUUUACGUAUAAAUAGAAAUACCGCGGAGAAACGUUUCUCGACCGCUUUCCAUGUAUCGCGACUGUUUUUUGCGACUGAGUUUCGUUUAUUUGAAAUUUUAAUUUUUCGGAUAAAAUAAUAUAUUUUCAGCGAAUGUUGCGUAACGUUUGAAAGGGGAUUGCUUUUUGCGAUAGUUAAUUGUAACCAUUACAGUGGCUUCCUUUAAUAAAGAAGUUAAGUUUUUUUGGAA